GUCACUUAAUUAAUUUUUCAUGUGAUAAAUAAGACUAGAAGGGAUCAUUAGUCUUAGAAACUUCAAGAAAAUUUGAGAAAGAGAAAAACAACAAAAAGAAGAACAAAAGCUUAAAGGCCAUACGGCCAUAGCUUGCAAAUUUUUGCCCUUUGAAAUCUUUCUCCAAAAAUUAUUUUCUUGUGGUAUUUCUACUAAUUCAAGGGUCCUUUACAACUUGGUGUAAUUAUUUUGGAAGAAAGAGCACUUGUUUCUUCAAGUUGACAACUUGGUCAAGUGAAAAAGAUUGUAGAAAAAGGUCAGCAGACAGGUGGACGUGAUCCUUAGAAGCUCUACCAGCCGCACUUGACAGCGCUCCAGUUGUUCCGGAGCCUCACUCCAGCGGUACUAUUUUAUGCAUAUACAUUCGGGCUUGGUAGCACCCCGGCCCUUUCUAUGUAUAAGUGUACUAUGUCUAGAGGCUCGUAGACAGAUACGUACAGUCAGUCAGGUACAGAUAUAUGUAUAGUGUUUUGGCAUGUUAAUAUUGUUGUACAAGGUAAUAA
Lycium barbarum (goji berry) is the source of this 542-nucleotide long non-coding RNA. RefSeq lists it as uncharacterized. The transcript has 2 exons. NCBI's taxonomy places the organism in Eukaryota, Viridiplantae, Streptophyta, Magnoliopsida, Solanales, Solanaceae. The record is from RefSeq and is a predicted model, not a curated record.